RNAcentral lists this ribosomal RNA (449 nucleotides) under uncultured Synergistaceae bacterium. Its description in RNAcentral is "bacterial SSU rRNA". It matches the Rfam family "Bacterial small subunit ribosomal RNA", at positions 933 to 1382 of the family's 1533-position model. Lineage: Bacteria; Thermotogati; Synergistota; Synergistia; Synergistales; Synergistaceae. The record is from RNAcentral.
UGGAGCAUGUGGUUUAAUUCGAUGAUACGCGAGGAACCUUACCUCGGGCUCAAAUGUAUGUUGACGUAUUCUGAAAGGGAUACUUCUUCGGACAAUAUACAAGGUGCUGCAUGGUUGUCGUCAGCUCGUGCCGUGAGGUGUCGGGUUAAGUCCCAUAACGAGCGCAACCCCUGCAUUCAGUUGCCAUCGGGUGAAGCCGGGCACUCUGGAAGGACUGCCAUCGACAAGAUGGAGGAAGGUGGGGACGACGUCAAGUCAUCAUGGCCCUUAUGUCCAGGGCGACACACGUGCUACAAUGGCCGGCACAACGGGAAGCGAGUUCGCGAGGACGAGCGGAUCCCUUAAAGCCGGUCGCAGUUCGGAUUGAAGUCUGCAACUCGACUUCAUGAAGCUGGAAUCGCUAGUAAUCGCAGAUCAGCCAAGCUGCGGUGAAUACGUUCCCGGGCCUU